This 77-nucleotide transfer RNA is filed under the name Aptychella robusta. Its description in RNAcentral is "partial trnL". Lineage: Eukaryota; Viridiplantae; Streptophyta; Bryopsida; Hypnales; Pylaisiadelphaceae. The record is from RNAcentral.
UANGGACUAGUCCAAUUUUACAUGUUAAUCUUAGCAACAAUUUAAAUUGUAGUAAAAAGAAAAUCCGUUGGCUUUAU